AAUAAAUGACGUCGUUGACUUUUUCUCACAUGUUUGACCAUUUGUCUCAUUCAAAAAAUUUAUGUAAUUAUAAUUUAUUUUUUUAGGAGUUGUUUUAUUACUUAUAGUACUUUAAGUGUGAUUUAUAUAUUAUACAUUUGCAUAAAAUUUUUGAAUAAGACGAAUGGUCAAACAUGUGAGAAAAAGUCAAUGGUAUCAUCUAUU
RNAcentral lists this microRNA precursor (204 nucleotides) under Oryza rufipogon (brownbeard rice). Its description in RNAcentral is "MIR812 microRNA precursor family". It matches the Rfam family "MIR812 microRNA precursor family". Lineage: Eukaryota; Viridiplantae; Streptophyta; Magnoliopsida; Poales; Poaceae. RNAcentral also lists the same sequence under 1 other name. The record is from Rfam by way of RNAcentral.